GGGCGGCUAGCUCAGUUGGUUAGAGCGCUACCCUCACACGGUAGAGGUCACUGGUUCGAGUCCAGUGCCGCCCA
Molecule: transfer RNA, 74 nt
Filed under: Planctomycetota bacterium
Lineage: Bacteria; Pseudomonadati; Planctomycetota
Also listed under: 1 other name
Description: Planctomycetes bacterium (hot springs metagenome) tRNA-Val
Rfam family: tRNA
About the family: Transfer RNA (tRNA) molecules are approximately 80 nucleotides in length. Their secondary structure includes four short double-helical elements and three loops (D, anti-codon, and T loops).
Source: RNAcentral